CCAGCCUAAUCACACUCACCUAAACGACCGGCACGGCAGCAGCACCCUGAGUUUUGUGCGGUAAUUUAUAGUGCGUGCGAGGUAAUAUUACGGCCUUGACUUGUCUCAGGCGCGAGGAGCCAUAACCAUCCCCGAUUGGAACAUAGAGUAGUUGACUGUGACGAGGACGACGCAACAUCGACGGGGGUGAGGCGUCGACGACCGUCACCUUGACUGCGGCCGAGACGCCGGCCACUCGUUCACCCCUCCUCCAAGCGGCGAUUGAGUUUGAUGAUUCCAGGUGCGGGCAUCAGGACCUCUGCUAUUGGAUCCAGGUGCGGGAGAUUGAAGUAUUAAACUCAGUCUCUAACCUCCCGAACGGGACUCAGACUCUGUUGUUGGAUCCUGUUGGAUCUUGUUCGGGGAUGAGACUGACGUUCGAGUUCGAUCCUGGACGACGGGAUUGAGACGCAGGUUCUCUAACCUCCAACAGGGUCCACUCGUUCGAUCCUACCGUCGGCCAUCCUCCAAGCGGCGUGGGCGUCAAGUUCGGCUUCGACGCCCGCACCAUCCAGAACCAGAUACUUUAUUGCAAAGACGUCAGCGCCACACACCCCCAUCAAAUACUUCCAAGCUCAUCAUGUCUCCUCUCAGAUCUCAUUGGCUGCUCCAUUCUCGGUGCCUGAUUAAGCACAAGGGCGAUCCGGUACGAGGGAGCGCCAUGGGCGAACCCAGCCCUCGCGAAUAUCCAUGGAGGCGGCUGGCGGGAGACAUCGUCCUAGCGAGGUGGAUCUAGCAUCCCGUCGUCGAGGCGCCCCGCGGAGCACCCUGGCCCAUGUAAGAAGGCCACUAUGGAAGCGCCUCAUUUGGGCAAGCAACCAUGGUUCUGAUUGUUCAUAUUGAUUUUGAACUUGGAUAGCAGGGGCAUUUACUUUGUUGAGGAGGAAAAUUCAGAAGGACGCAGCAGAAGAUGUCCUUCAAGAAUACCAAAAAGGUUGCAGCCGAGAGACAAAGAUGGGAACAUAGGAUGUCCAGAUGCUGUUGUAGAGGCUUCUCACUAUGUCCAUUUGUGUUGUGUUGUUCCUUGCCAGAAUUCUAUGCAUGUGCACCGCUACUAAUUCUGCUGGCUGAAUUUUAAUCAUGCCUGCCCCACCCAAUGUUUUCUAUGUUAAAAGUGGCAUGUGAACUUCUGUGAGCAUGCCGUUUAAUUGGUUGAGAAAAUUAUACUUUGCGUAAAACUAAGUUUGUUUCUGAAUUGUGACUCUAUUGUUGAGCUCCAUGAUCUAUGAUAAAGUAUUGCCGGAAGAUGGCUGUAAUCUUGGUAGAAAGAAUGGUAUCCUGCAUCUGUAGUGCAUCGGUGACAUGAGAAAUUUUGUACAUUUUGUAUGUA
Molecule: long non-coding RNA, 1369 nt
Organism: Triticum aestivum (bread wheat)
Lineage: Eukaryota; Viridiplantae; Streptophyta; Magnoliopsida; Poales; Poaceae
Exons: 4
Source: RefSeq, a predicted model, not a curated record